RNAcentral lists this ribosomal RNA (497 nucleotides) under uncultured archaeon. Its description in RNAcentral is "bacterial SSU rRNA". It matches the Rfam family "Archaeal small subunit ribosomal RNA", at positions 857 to 1351 of the family's 1478-position model. The record is from RNAcentral.
UAAAGGAAUUGGCGGGGGAGCACCACAAGGGGUGAAGCCUGCGGUUCAAUUGGAGUCAACGCCAGAAAUCUUACCCGGAGAGAACAGCAGAAUGAAGGUCAAGCUGAAGACUUUACCAGACAAGCUGAGAGGUGGUGCAUGGCCGUCGCCAGCUCGUGCCGUGAGAUGUCCUGUUAAGUCAGGUAACGAGCGAGAUCCUCGCCACUAGCUGCUAUCAUUAUUCUCAGGAAUAGUGGGGCGAAUUAGUGGGACUGCCGUUGUUAAAACGGAGGAAGGAGGGGGCUACGGCAGGUCAGUAUGCCCCGAAACUCUGGGGCCACACGCGGGCUGCAAUGGUAGCGACAAUGAGCUCCAAACUCGAAAGAGAGUGGCAAUCUCUAAACGCUACCACAGUUAUGACUGAGGGCUGUAACUCGCCCUCACGAAUAUGGAAUCCCUAGUAACCGCGUGUCAUUACCGCGCGGUGAAUACGUCCCUGCUCCUUGCACACACCGCCA